UACUGACCAUAACACCCGGAUAACUCCCAAUCUGGUUUGAUGUCAGACGCUAAACAGGGUUGGGUCUGGUUAGUACUUGGAUGGGAGACUGCUGGGAAUAUCAGGUGCCACAGGGU
Molecule: ribosomal RNA, 116 nt
Filed under: Periophthalmus magnuspinnatus
Lineage: Eukaryota; Metazoa; Chordata; Actinopteri; Gobiiformes; Gobiidae
Source: RNAcentral